Molecule: ribosomal RNA, 487 nt
Filed under: uncultured bacterium
Lineage: Bacteria
Description: bacterial SSU rRNA
Rfam family: Bacterial small subunit ribosomal RNA
Source: RNAcentral
GAUCAUGGCUCAGGACGAACGCUGGCGGCGUGCCUAACACAUGCAAGUCGAGCGAUGAAAUCCUUCGGGAUGGAUUAGCGGCGGACGGGUGAGUAACACGUGGGUAACCUGCCUUGUAGAGGGGGAUAGCCUUCCGAAAGGAAGAUUAAUACCGCAUAACAUCUUUUUUAUCGCAUGGUAGAAAGAUCAAAGGAGCAAUCCGCUACAAGAUGGACCCGCGGCGCAUUAGCUAGUUGGUGAGGUAACGGCUCACCAAGGCGACGAUGCGUAGCCGACCUGAGAGGGUGAUCGGCCACAUUGGAACUGAGACACGGUCCAGACUCCUACGGGAGGCAGCAGUGGGGAAUAUUGCGCAAUUGGGGGGAAACCCUGACGCAGCAACGCCGCGUGAAUGAAGAAGGCCUUAGGGUUGUAAAGUUCUGUUUACGGGGACGAUAAUGACGGUACCCGUGGAGGAAGCCACGGCUAACUACGUGCCAGCCGCCGC